Molecule: ribosomal RNA, 163 nt
Filed under: Garcinia acuminata
Lineage: Eukaryota; Viridiplantae; Streptophyta; Magnoliopsida; Malpighiales; Clusiaceae
Description: 5.8S ribosomal RNA
Rfam family: 5.8S ribosomal RNA
About the family: 5.8S ribosomal RNA (5.8S rRNA) is a component of the large subunit of the eukaryotic ribosome. It is transcribed by RNA polymerase I as part of the 45S precursor that also contains 18S and 28S rRNA. Functionally, it is thought that 5.8S rRNA may be involved in ribosome translocation.
Source: RNAcentral
AGCUGACUCUACGCACCGAAUAUCUCGGCUCUAGCAUCGAUGCAAAACGUAGCGAAAUGCGAUACCUGGUGUGAAUUGCAGAAUCCCGUGAACCGUCCAGUUUUUGAGAGCGAGUUGCGCCCGAACCCUUUAGGGUGAGGGCGCGUCUGCCUGGGUGACGCAC